GUACACUCCUGCGGGAGGCAGCAGUGGGGAAUUUUGGACAAUGGGCGAAAGCCUGAUCCAGCAAUGCCGCGUGAGUGAAGAAGGCCUUCGGGUUGUAAAGCUCUUUUGUCAGGGAAGAAACGGUGAGAGCUAAUAUCUUUUGCUAAUGACGGUACCUGAAGAAUAAGCACCGGCUAACUACGUGCCAGCAGCCGCGGUAAUACGUAGGGUGCAAGCGUUAAUCGGAAUUACUGGGCGUAAAGCGUGCGCAGGCGGUUUUGUAAGUCUGAUGUGAAAUCCCCGGGCUCAACCUGGGAAUUGCAUUGGAGACUGCAAGGCUAGAAUCUGGCAGAGGGGGGUAGAAUUCCACGUGUAGCAGUGAAAUGCGUAGAUAUGUGGAGGAACACCGAUGGCGAAGGCAGCCCCCUGGGUCAAGAUUGACGCUCAUGCACGAAAGCGUGGGGAGCAAACAGGAUUAGAAACCCCGGUAGUCCCAUG
RNAcentral lists this ribosomal RNA (477 nucleotides) under uncultured organism. RNAcentral's name for it is "partial 16S ribosomal RNA". It matches the Rfam family "Bacterial small subunit ribosomal RNA", at positions 331 to 799 of the family's 1533-position model. The record is from RNAcentral.